This is a long non-coding RNA of Salvelinus sp. IW2-2015, 1447 nucleotides long. RefSeq lists it as uncharacterized. Lineage: Eukaryota; Metazoa; Chordata; Actinopteri; Salmoniformes; Salmonidae. The record is from RefSeq and is a predicted model, not a curated record.
GCUCUGACUGUGGGAAGAGAUUCACAACAUCACAAGCUCUGACAAUUCAUCAGAGAGUGCACACUGGAGAGAAGCCUUACUCCUGCUCUGACUGUGGGAAAAGUUUCUCCCGAUUGGAUAAGUUAAAAAGUCACCAACUAAUACACAUAGCRAAGCCAUUCUCCUGYUCUGACUGUGGUAAGUGCUUCAAAACAUCAACUGAGCUAACAGUUCAUCAGAGAACACACACAGAAGAGAAGCCUUACUUCUGCUCUGACUAUGGGAAGAGUUUCUCCCAAUUGGAAAAGUUAAAAUGUCCCCAGCGAAUACAUAUAGACAAAGUCUCACUUCUGCUCUGACUGUGGGAAGAGUUUCCGAUUUAGAUACCUUUUAAAAUGUCACCAGCGUAUACAUACAGGAGAGAAGCCUCAUCAGUUCUCUCAGACCAGCUAAGAGUAAAGUCAUUACAUCACUUCCUUCUCAUCUCAUAAAUGAAGUGGUAACAGUGAAUUUGAUAACAUUUAAGAAAGAAUAAAACACUAUUGGGAUCCUAUUGUUUCUCACUGUGAGAGAACUGUGCAGAGGAAAGGGAGCGUUAUAGAAUGUUAGYUUCUCGUUAAUUUACUGAUCAGUGUGCACCAUGUCAGUUUUUUGUUGUGUUUUGUUAGUUUCUACUGUAAAGAUAUUGAGAUGACCGUGGAUUUGCCCUUAGGGUUGAAUAUCCUACGAGGCUUCUUACGUUGAAACAAUGUAGUCUGACUGUUGACUGUGUGGGACUCUGUGGGAAUAAGUUAGUAGAUACAACAUGUAUCAGAUAGAGAUGGUGUGAUGAUCAGUUUUCUGUGGGAAUGAGUUAGUAGACACAACAUGUAUCAGAUAGAGAUGGUGUGAUGAUCAGUUUUCUGUGGGAAUGAGUUAGUAGACACUACAUGUAUCAGAUAGAGAUGGUGUGAUGAUCAGUUUUCUGUGGGAAUGAGUUAGUAGAUACAACAUGUAUCAGAUAGAGAUGGUGUGAUCAGUUUUCACCAUUUAGUUUGGUUGUUUUUUUGUUGUUUUGUUUUUUACUACUAAGCAACUUUUGUUUAAUGAUAUACAUACUUUGAAACGAUAAACAUGUUUAUUAAAUUGUCUUAAAUAGAUGUAUUAUUUUCGUCAUUGAUGAAUGUAUUUGGAUGUCUGCACUGAACUUAAUUGAUGUGCGAAUGAAAAAUACAUAUUCUACUUGAAUUUGUGCUGGUCAAACUUUGGGUUAUCUAUACAGACAAUGCAAUGUUUUUGUUUAAUUGAUGAUAUUCAAACUAAUUUAAAUGUCUAUGUAUCUACUCAAUACAUGUCACUUCACCUCUACAUGCCAAUUAGCUAGCCCCCUGUAUGUUCUACAAUACAUACAAAUAAUGUUUUCAGGAUAAAGGACAUGUAUUUCAUAUUUAAGUAAAAGUUAAAUAAAAUAACAUUUAUUUUGUCAAUG